GGAAUAUUGCACAAUGGGGGAAACCCUGAUGCAGCGACGCCGCGUGGGUGAAGAAGUAUUUCGGUAUGUAAAGCCCUAUCAGCAGGGAAGAUCAUGACGGUACCUGACUAAGAAGCCCCGGCUAACUACGUGCCAGCAGCCGCGGUAAUACGUAGGGGGCAAGCGUUAUCCGGAUUUACUGGGUGUAAAGGGAGCGUAGGUGGCGUGCCAAGUCAGGAGUGAAAACCCAGGGCCCAACCCUGGGACUGCUCUUGAAACUGGCAGGCUUGAGUGCUGGAGAGGUAAGCGGAAUUCCUAGUGUAGCGGUGAAAUGCGUAGAUAUUAGGAGGAACACCAGUGGCGAAGGCGGCUUACUGGACAGUGACUGACACUGAGGCUCGAAAGCGUGGGGAGCAAACAGGA
RNAcentral lists this unclassified non-coding RNA (402 nucleotides) under plant metagenome. RNAcentral describes it as "partial contains 5.8S ribosomal RNA, internal transcribed spacer 2, and large subunit ribosomal RNA". It matches the Rfam family "Bacterial small subunit ribosomal RNA", at positions 358 to 777 of the family's 1533-position model. The record is from RNAcentral.